Molecule: ribosomal RNA, 496 nt
Filed under: uncultured bacterium
Lineage: Bacteria
Description: partial 16S ribosomal RNA
Rfam family: Bacterial small subunit ribosomal RNA
Source: RNAcentral
GAUGAACGCUGGCGGCGUGCCUAAUACAUGCGAGUCGAGCGAACAGACGAGGAGCUUGCUCCUCUGACGUUAGCGGCGGACGGGGAGUAACACGUGGAUAACCUACCUAUAAGACUGGGGUAACUUCGGGAAACCGGAGCUAAUACCGGAUAAUAUAUUGAACCGCAUGGUUCAAUAGUGAAAGACGGUUUUGCUGUCACUUAUAGAUGGAUCCGCGCCGCAUUAGCUAGUUGGUAAGGUAACGGCUUACCAAGGCAACGAUGCGUAGCCGACCUGAGAGGGUGAUCGGCCACACUGGAACUGAGACACGGUCCAGACUCCUACGGGAGGCAGCAGUAGGGAAUCUUCCGCAAUGGGCGAAAGCCUGACGGAGCAACGCCGCGUGAGUGAUGAAGGUCUUCGGAUCGUAAAACUCUGUUAUUAGGGAAGAACAAAUGUGUAAGUAACUAUGCACGUCUUGACGGUACCUAAUCAGAAAGCCACGGCUAACUACGUG